Molecule: unclassified non-coding RNA, 1054 nt
Filed under: Hevea brasiliensis (rubber tree)
Lineage: Eukaryota; Viridiplantae; Streptophyta; Magnoliopsida; Malpighiales; Euphorbiaceae
Source: RNAcentral
CAAAAAGAAAAUUUUUUUUGAAACAGGAAAAUCUAAUUAGUAAGAAGAGCACAUGUCAUCUAAUUAACAGCUAAUUUAUUGUAUGGAGGAGAACGCGGGAUUUGUGGAUUCGUUUAUAUGGAUUCGUUUCCAUUGUACUUACCGUUGCUUAUUCAAUCCCUUCUUCACACAGAUACAACUCUUAACAGUCUUUUAUUUCUAAAUUUUUUUUUUCUCCCUUUCCAUUUCUGGAGAGAAAGACCCCAAACCCAUUACCUAAUUCAUCUUUCCUUCCCAAAGAUCACCAUAAAACCAUCCAUUUCUUGGCAUCAUGGAAGUGGGUUUUUAGCCCCAUUCCCAUUUUGCAGUGUGCCAAGAGAAGGUGGGUGUCUUUAUUGUUUUCUAACAUGGGGUUGGUGAGAUUUUGUUACACGUAUGAGUAUGUUUUAUGUUGUGUAAUCCAAUAUGAAGAUUAGAAUGUUCACAGGGUAACAAGGCUCGGAUAGCAUUUUGACUGUAAUUUUGUUACAGUGUUGGAUUUUAUGGGUGUAGGAAUUGGGAUUGGAGAUCUUGGCCCUGCAAAUUUCGGAUAGUGUGUUUCAUCAAUGGGGGUAUCAUCUGACAAUUUUCAUGGACUUGUUUUGGCCAUUUCGUCGAGCAUUUUUAUUGGUUCUAGCUUUAUUGUAAAAAAGAAAGGUCUCAAAAAGGCUGGGGCAACUGGAACUAGAGCAGGCAUGGGAGGGCAUUCAUACUUGUAUGAACCAUGGUGGUGGGCUGGGAUGAUAUCUAGUAAGUUCAACAGUACUUUCAAUUUGUGCCUCUAUAAACUUUGUGGAAAUAUCUAGACAUAUGCUCACACUCACUCAGACACAUACCAUUGAGCAAUAGUAAACUUGUGAUAACUAAAAGAUUGUGUUUUAAAAUUUGAUGAUUCAAUUCAAAUCCAAAUGUCUAUGCAAUGAAGAAUGCAACUGAGCUUAAGGACUAAUUUUAUAAAUAUUGAUCUAGAUUAAGUUCAAAGUGGCCUAACUUAAUCUAGACAUAUGCUCACAUCCAAAAUCGUUUAGAGUGGAAA